Molecule: long non-coding RNA, 618 nt
Organism: Felis catus (domestic cat)
Lineage: Eukaryota; Metazoa; Chordata; Mammalia; Carnivora; Felidae
Exons: 4
Source: RefSeq, a predicted model, not a curated record
GAUAGUGGAAAAUUGCCUUUCAUCAAGGUUCUACACAUUUUUACUCAAUAAAUUGUUAGAGGAGGUCCUCAAGAGGACGUGACCCCUAGUUGACCCCAGAGGUAGAUCCGGGCAUUCUGUGGCUCCUCACCCCCCUCCUCCCCGGCGCUUGGAAUACACAUUGCCUCCGUGGUUCCCCCAGCCAGAGCUAUUUUCAAGUACAUAGCCCUAAGAGAGUAAGGUGCUAUUGGGACCGCCUGGACUUCAUGCCUGAACCCAGUUGAGGCCUGAUGGAAGCUUUUAAGAUUCUGGCAGAGAUCUACUCGUCUCGCAGCUACCCAAGAUAAACCUGGCCGGGGAAUUUCAAAGUAUGCUCCAAGGAUGUCUGGGGUCUGCCUUCUCUAACUACAUUUUUGCGUGAGGCCAGAUUGUCUGCAUAUACCUUGAGCAAAACAACAUUUCACAACAGAUUUCAUGGCUAUCAGCUGGCCAGGUCCUAAUUCCUGAAACCUCCUCCAGAAAGAAGACAACCUUUGAUUUGCUUCUUAAGACUCAUUUCAGACUUCUGACCACCAGAACUGUAAGAGCAUGAAUGGGGAAGGGGCAGAGAGAGAGGGAGACACAGAAUCUGAAACAGGA